RNAcentral lists this non-coding RNA (26 nucleotides) under Mus musculus (house mouse). Lineage: Eukaryota; Metazoa; Chordata; Mammalia; Rodentia; Muridae. The record is from RNAcentral.
UGUGACUGGUACCACUUUUGUGUUGU